AUGAACCGCAUACUUUCUGGAAGGCCUCAGGCUUCCCUUCCCACUGAUCCAGCAGCUGCACAGGGUGGACAAGCACUGCUGUCUCCUGUCUCUUCUCGAGGCAAGAACAGAAAUGCCAGCUCCCCAGCACUUUGCUUUGACCUACUACGUGUGUACACAGGAGGGCAUGAGAGGAGCACAGAACUGGAGACAGCCCUGUUGAGCCACUGUUCCGAUAACCAGGGUCCUAUUGCCUACCUCACUGGGGGCCCAGUGCAGAAUGGAGAGGACAACUACUUCUUCUCCAAAGAGGAAAACUGGAUGUUGCAUUUCAUUCCUGAGAGGCUCCACUACCAAAUGCCAAAGCCAUGGCCCUAAUGACUCCAUCUCUGUGCUGCUCCUGUGCAUCUGCUGCCUGACAAACAAACAGAUCUUGAAGAACAUAGCUGCAAGCAGUGGAAAUCACCAUUCAAGGAAAACUUUGUUUUAAGACUCCCAGCAGAGAUGACUUCAAAGGCUAGCAGGAAGAUGCUGAAUCCCACCUGGUAUGGAGUGCCAGGGGCAAGACCGUGAUGAAGCAGAGAGUGCUCCCAGAGGUGCAGCACACUGAGCAGUUCCAAGGAACUGAAGAGUUUUCUGGUUAAAGCCCUACAUAAACACACUGUAGUGGUAAGGGAUGGAAGAUACAAAGGACUAAGGAUUACCCAAUGAAUUUUUGCUGCUUAUCUCAGGAAAGAUUUCCCUGAAAAUAAAGACAAUAAGGAAGUCA
Molecule: long non-coding RNA, 748 nt
Filed under: Cyanistes caeruleus (blue tit)
Lineage: Eukaryota; Metazoa; Chordata; Aves; Passeriformes; Paridae
Description: lncRNA (ENSCCEG00000006853.1)
Source: RNAcentral